ACUUUCUCACCGAAAACAUCUACAUCGCCAUUUCUCCUCGAAUUAUGCGGAUUCGAACCUGCAUGCUCUUUCUCAUCGUGUAGUCGCAAAAAUGAAAAUGGACUUCAACCAAAGGAGCAAAUUUAUAUAUUAGUUUUUUUCUACACAAUUCGGAGAGAAAAUGGCGACAUAGAUGUUCUCGGUGACAGU
RNAcentral lists this microRNA precursor (189 nucleotides) under Picea abies (Norway spruce). RNAcentral's name for it is "miR1312a stem-loop (pab-MIR1312a)". Lineage: Eukaryota; Viridiplantae; Streptophyta; Pinopsida; Pinales; Pinaceae. The record is from miRBase by way of RNAcentral.